RNAcentral lists this ribosomal RNA (1454 nucleotides) under uncultured organism. Its description in RNAcentral is "16S ribosomal RNA". It matches the Rfam family "Bacterial small subunit ribosomal RNA". The record is from RNAcentral.
GAUGAACGCUAGCUACAGGCUUAACACAUGCAAGUCGAGGGGCAGCAUGGUCUUAGCUUGCUAAGGCCGAUGGCGACCGGCGCACGGGUGAGUAACACGUAUCCAACCUACCGUCUACUCUUGGACAGCCUUCUGAAAGGAAGAUUAAUACAAGAUGGCAUCAUGAGUCCGCAUGUUCACAUGAUUAAAGGUAUUCCGGUAGACGAUGGGGAUGCGUUCCAUUAGAUAGUAGGCGGGGUAACGGCCCACCUAGUCUUCGAUGGAUAGGGGUUCUGAGAGGAAGGUCCCCCACAUUGGAACUGAGACACGGUCCAAACUCCUACGGGAGGCAGCAGUGAGGAAUAUUGGUCAAUGGGCGAGAGCCUGAACCAGCCAAGUAGCGUGAAGGAUGACUGCCCUAUGGGUUGUAAACUUCUUUUAUAAAGGAAUAAAGUCGGGUAUGCAUACCCGUUUGCAUGUACUUUAUGAAUAAGGAUCGGCUAACUCCGUGCCAGCAGCCGCGGUAAUACGGAGGAUCCGAGCGUUAUCCGGAUUUAUUGGGUUUAAAGGGAGCGUAGAUGGAUGUUUAAGUCAGUUGUGAAAGUUUGCGGCUCAACCGUAAAAUUGCAGUUGAUACUGGAUAUCUUGAGUGCAGUUGAGGCAGGCGGAAUUCGUGGUGUAGCGGUGAAAUGCUUAGAUAUCACGAAGAACUCCGAUUGCGAAGGCAGCCUGCUAAGCUGCAACUGACAUUGAGGCUCGAAAGUGUGGGUAUCAAACAGGAUUAGAUACCCUGGUAGUCCACACGGUAAACGAUGAAUACUCGCUGUUUGCGAUAUACAGCAAGCGGCCAAGCGAAAGCGUUAAGUAUUCCACCUGGGGAGUACGCCGGCAACGGUGAAACUCAAAGGAAUUGACGGGGGCCCGCACAAGCGGAGGAACAUGUGGUUUAAUUCGAUGAUACGCGAGGAACCUUACCCGGGCUUAAAUUGCAGAUGAAUUACGGUGAAAGCCGUAAGCCGCAAGGCAUCUGUGAAGGUGCUGCAUGGUUGUCGUCAGCUCGUGCCGUGAGGUGUCGGCUUAAGUGCCAUAACGAGCGCAACCCUUGUUGUCAGUUACUAACAGGUUCCGCUGAGGACUCUGACAAGACUGCCAUCGUAAGAUGUGAGGAAGGUGGGGAUGACGUCAAAUCAGCACGGCCCUUACGUCCGGGGCUACACACGUGUUACAAUGGGGGGUACAGAGGGCCGCUACCACGCGAGUGGAUGCCAAUCCCAAAAACCUCUCUCAGUUCGGACUGGAGUCUGCAACCCGACUCCACGAAGCUGGAUUCGCUAGUAAUCGCGCAUCAGCCACGGCGCGGUGAAUACGUUCCCGGGCCUUGUACACACCGCCCGUCAAGCCAUGGGAGCCGGGGGUACCUGAAGUGCGUAACCGCGAGGAGCGCCCUAGGGUAAAACUGGUGACUGGGGCUAAGU